This 515-nucleotide ribosomal RNA is filed under the name uncultured bacterium. RNAcentral describes it as "bacterial SSU rRNA". It matches the Rfam family "Bacterial small subunit ribosomal RNA", at positions 15 to 518 of the family's 1533-position model. The record is from RNAcentral.
GAUUAUGGCUCAGGAUGAACGCUAGCUACAGGCUUAACACAUGCAAGUCGAGGGCAGCAUUAUCGAAGCUUGCUUUGAUAGAUGGCGACCGGCGCACGGGUGAGUAACGCGUAUCCAACCUUCCCAUCACGUCAGGGAUAGCCCGCCGAAAGGCGAAUUAAUACCUGAUGGUCUCCUUUGCAGACAUCUAACGAGGAGUAAAGAUUUAUUGGUGAUGGAUGGGGGAUGCGUCUGAUUAGGUAGUAGGCGGGUAACGGCCCACCUAGCCGACGAUCAGUAGGGGUUCUGAGAGGAAGGUCCCCCACAUUGGAACUGAGACACGGUCCAAACUCCUACGGGAGGCAGCAGUGAGGAAUAUUGGUCAAUGGACGGAAGUCUGAACCAGCCAAGUAGCGUGCAAGGAUGACGGCCCUAUGGGUUGUAAACUGCUUUUGUGCGGGAAUAAAGUAUGGGACGUGUCCCAUUUUGCAUGUACCGCACGAAUAAGGACCGGCUAAUUCCGUGCCAGCAGCGGC